AGAGUUUGAUCAUGGCUCAGGAUGAACGCUAGCGGCAGGCUUAACACAUGCAAGUCGAGGGGCAGCGGGGUGUAGCAAUACACUGCCGGCGACCGGCGCACGGGUGCGUAACGCGUAUGCAACCUACCCAUAACAGGGGCAUAACACGUGAGAAAUUGGUACUAAUUCCCCAUAACACUCGAAGAGGCAUCUCUUUGGGUUGAAAACUCCGGUGGUUAUGGAUGGGCAUGCG
This 232-nucleotide ribosomal RNA is filed under the name uncultured bacterium. RNAcentral's name for it is "partial 16S ribosomal RNA". It matches the Rfam family "Bacterial small subunit ribosomal RNA", at positions 8 to 235 of the family's 1533-position model. The record is from RNAcentral.